GAGCGUGUUGUUGCUCCUAGUGAGAAGACCCCCUCCAGAGAUGCCAGAGCAAGGAAAUGAAUCCAUGUGAAGAUGCUCAGACAGAGCAGACCCUGCAGACCGUUCCAGCUGCCUGGACCACUGCAAUGACAACUGGAAAGACAAAACAAGCAAACAGGGCAUGCAGAGCAAGCAGGCUUGCCCGACGCCCCCAAUCCCUGGGAUACUCCCCAAACUUUCCACUGUGGUCAGGCCCUUCUCACUGAGUGAGCACAAACUGACCUGCCCCAGGGACAAAGCAAGACCUUGCCUGGUCCUCUUGGCACCAGGGCUCAAAAUUAGACCUUGAAUACAAGGGCAGAGAGGGAGCGGUCUACACAGAGCCCUUCCCUCCGUUCCCCGGCCCCGGGGAUGGGAAGUGCUGUUGUUAGAAAUCUAGACCUCCAGCUCAAUAUAAAGGCCAGGGUUGAAGCUGUACAUCUGAAGUUUGAGAAAAGCUGAAAUUGAUUCUCCAAAAGAUAGUCACAUUAUAACCCCAAGGACCUGUGCGUUUCUAUAUGCAAAAAAAAAAAAAAAAAAAAGUAAUGAUUACAUUAAGAAUCUUGAGGCAGGGAGAUUAGCCUGGAUUGUGCAGGUGGGCCCGAGAUGCAAGCACCCGUAUCCCCAGAAGAGGGAGGCAGACAGAGAUUUGAUCACAGAAGAGAAGGCCAGGUGGCCACGGAGGCUGAGUUUGGAGGGAUGUGGCCACAAGCCGAGGACAGCGACAGGCACCAGAAAUUGGAAGGUUUAAGGAACUGAUGAUUCUCCCCAGAGCCCCCAGGGAGGGUGCAGCCUGCAGACACCUUGAUUUCGGCCCAGUGAUGCCGGCUUUGGGCUGCUGAUCUCCAGAACUAUAAGAAAAUAAGUGUGUGCUUAUCUGUAAGGUUGCUUAUGCCCCAAAUAGGUCUCGCGAGUCCUUAUUAUAAGCCGGGUGAGCGGCUAAAAGCAUUAAGGGAACGAACACUACCUCUUCCUCCGUCUUGUGACGUGGAUGCGGUGAAGUGGUUUGCAGGUGACUGAGCAGGUUGUGGUGCUGAUGGCCUGAUCCUUAAGGAGCAGGAGUGAUGGCUGGGAAGCGGUGUGGGAAGAGGGGUCACUAAAGCCACCUCACCUACAACCCUUCCCAGAAAAUUCUACGCAUUCUUCCACAUGCCUCAAACCUUGAAAUUGGGAAGUAGAGAUGUCAGCUGUCCCCUAAAAGACCUGUAUGGGCCAAAGUUUCUGCCUAACGGAGCUAACAUUUCUCAGCAGGCCACUAAAUGUGCCUCGGGCUGAUACUGCCCCAAAAGGAACUGCCUUGGGUCUGGCAUUUUCCGUUACGGCUCUCAGCCUUCUUACAGCAAGAUGCAGCUUACUGCUUAUCAACAGCACGGCAAGGAGGGAUGGGAGUGAGGGGUAAGGCCUGGCUGAGAAUUUCGGGGAACCCACGGCAUUGCUGGUCUUUGGAUAUCUCAGAAGUGGUCAGGGUCCAAGGCUAUGGGAUGGGGCUUCCCUUCUGAGGCCUGCGAGCUAAAGACAUCCCACCGAAUCCCCGAGACUCAUGGACGGUUCAUGGACAAAUACUUUCCCCUACCCCAAAGGCAAAGACCCCCAAGUCUACUGCCUCAACUUUCUCCCUUCCCUGAAACUCAGACAACCACUCUUUGUCCCUUUGUCCCCCAGCGCUGCAUUUCUUGGAAGCCUUCAACAACGGGGCUGAGAAAAUCCUGUCUGAUUCCCAGAGUUAAUGGAAUAACCUAUCAUGUUCCCAGAAGACCACUCAGCUCUGAACUCAGAUGCCAACAAUAUAAAUACUUCCAUUUUCCGGGUUGGGAAUCUUCAAAAGCCAAAAGAGCUAUGCCUGAGUGUGUCUCCCGCCGCCACGUUGAACACUUCCCAAGGCCAGGUUGUGCAGAAGGCCUUGCUAGCUAGUGAGAGACCUGAGAUGACAAGAGCCUGCAGCAGCUCCAACAUUUCUCCGAUGCCCCCGAGUACUUAUGGAGCGCCUACUGUGUGUCAGGUCACCAACAAAUAUGACGCGAGCAGAAGCUUGAAAAGUGCUUGUCCAUUAGGAUUUGUCUUCUCUUGCUGCCUUUGGAACCCACAGCUACGCGAAGAAGAUGGUGCUGGCCAGCUAGUUGUUGGCCAUGUGGGGCUCACGUGUCACCCCCAACCGAGUGCCCAACAUGUGAGUGAGGCCAUCUAGGGCCCAGUGAUGCUCACCUGAUCUUCCAACUGACUGCAGCUGCAUGAGAAAGCCAAGGCAAGACCAGUAGAAGAACCACUCGCCUGAACUCAGUUCAAAUGAUCAGUCCACAGAAUUAUGAGCUAUAAAUAAGUGCUGUUUUGGGGGGUAAUUGUUACUCAGUUAAAACCUGACUCAGUGACAAUAUAAUGAAAUUAACGUAUACACAUAUCCUGGAAUGUGAGUAAAGGACAUCAUUCUGCUACUGUCAUGUGAUUGCCACUUUUGGAUUAUUAUUUACAAUCUUACUAGUUGUAUUUAAUUUAUUUAUAAACUCAUGAGAAAAGAACAGUGUAAAUAAUUAUUCAUUCCACGUGAAGGCGAAUGAGAUUCUGGCCCUUUGUACAAAUGGGAAAAGGGGAGAAAUGAGGGAAUGGGGAGAUUUGGCAGAGAACGGAAUCAUAACCAGGCAUGACCCCCUUUCAACAAAUCGUAAAUCCAUCAUAUUGAUAUAAUUCUGUCAAUGUGCUUUUAUAGUGGAAUUUGAGUUGUAAACAUUAGGAAUUUGGACCCAUACUUACCUUUUUUUGUAUAUUCAUAUGCUUAAAUAACAUGAUGAUAAAUGUAUAUUUAAAUAACGUUAAAAUAUAGAUAAUUUAAUUCUUCCUGGAAAUCGGCAGGCAUUUUUCCUUUAUUUUUUAUUUUAUUAUUAUUAUUUUUUAUUUUAUUAUGUUAUGUUAGUCACCAUACAAUACAUCAUUAGUUUUU
Molecule: long non-coding RNA, 2950 nt
Organism: Mirounga angustirostris (Northern elephant seal)
Lineage: Eukaryota; Metazoa; Chordata; Mammalia; Carnivora; Phocidae
Exons: 4
Source: RefSeq, a predicted model, not a curated record